AUGGUAGCUAAAAUUCAAUACAAGAUGGUAAAGUGUAUGAAGAAAUCAGCUCUAAGCAAACUACUGCCACUCAAGGAGCUCUGCAUACUGAAGCAGCUUCCACAGAUAAAGACUCUAAAGACGCUCUGGCUAAACCAGAAAACCAGUUACAGGGUAUCACAUGUCUUCAUCUGUAGAUAAUUAUGGACCAUGAUCAAAUUAUAUCUUAAUUAACUGAACUGAACAGAGUCAGCUUAUUACAAAACUCUACAGAAAGGUAGGUUCCCACUUUCAGGGAUUUUUUUGCUCAGAGUUUUUCUGAUAUGUCACCAUAUUUCCUAAGGGUGGGUACAUCCCAUGCCAAACAUGCUGCCUCAGAAAUAGAUUUGAUGUCGCAUGCAUCACUAUUAUUACCAAUGUCCACGUUUUUCCCAGAAUUUCCAUCUACAUCUUGAAGAACCAAGUUAGGUCUCUCUUUGUCCUUCUGUGACAUCUCUUCAUUGAUGGCUUUUCAUCAGUGACUUGCAAAUAUUCACAGCUCCUACUUUCCAAACAUUGUUUUCUGUCCUUCUAACGACUGGUGCAUCACCCACAGAUCUUCUUUAUUUUCUUUGUUUCACUCUUCUAUUACUCCUAUACUCAGAAAAUAAUAUAUGAAAAAAAAACCCUUUCUGAAAAUUAAAAUAAACCAAUAUGUGAAUGUAUGAUAUCUGCCCUA
Molecule: long non-coding RNA, 697 nt
Filed under: Zonotrichia albicollis (white-throated sparrow)
Lineage: Eukaryota; Metazoa; Chordata; Aves; Passeriformes; Passerellidae
Description: lncRNA (ENSZALG00000017693.1)
Source: RNAcentral